Molecule: RNA transcript, 653 nt
Organism: Rhinopithecus roxellana (golden snub-nosed monkey)
Lineage: Eukaryota; Metazoa; Chordata; Mammalia; Primates; Cercopithecidae
Gene name: small nuclear ribonucleoprotein Sm D3 pseudogene
Exons: 1
Source: RefSeq, a predicted model, not a curated record
CCGCCAUUCUCUUGAUUCACGCCUUCGCCGUAGCGGAUUUCGCCGUGCACCGAAGAGAAGGAAAAGUAGGCCAGAGCCGAACUCUCUUCCUGCCAAGAUGUCUAUUGGUGUGCCAAUUAAAGUGCUGCAUGAGGCUGAGGGCCACAUUGUGACAUGUGAGACGAACACCGGUGAGGUAUAUCGGGGGAAGCUCAUUGAAGCAGAGGACAACAUGAACUGCCAGAUGUCCAACAUCACAGUCACAUACAGAGAUGGCCGAGUGGCACAGCUGGAGCAGGUGUACAUCCGUGGCAGCAAAAUCCGCUUUCUGAUUUUGCCUGACAUGCUGAAGAAUGCACCUAUGUUAAAGAGCAUGAAAAAUAAAAACCCAGGUUCAGGGGCUGGCCGAGGAAAAGCUGCUAUUCUCAAGGCCCAAGUGGCUGCAAGAGGAAGAGGACGUGGAAUGGGACGUGGAAACAUCUUUCAAAAACGAAGAUAAUUUUCUCCAUUGAACAGACCUUUGCCCUUUUUUCUUUCAGGUUAUCUGAGUUCACUGGGGUGGGUGCUUGUGUAUAUGUCCUAGGUAUCUUUUGACAUCUUUCUCUUUAGAUCAGGGAAAAUGUUGAAGCUAAAUAAAUCUGGGGGGUUUUUUGUUCAAAAAAAAAAAAAAAAAA